GUCUGGUCUGUUUCGUUAUCAAGCCUUCUAAGAAUUUGGUUAGAUGGACAAAAAGACGAGUAAAAAGAGUGCGAAAGUUUGCUCCUUUUCGGUCAGCUUUUAGUCGCUGUAUAUAUCGUUCUGCUUCUGGCUGCUCUCGACCUGCAAGCGCAGACAAAAACAAAAUCCCUCCAGAGCCCCCACCCCACCUCUCUCUCUCUCUCUCCAGUCUCAAGCAAGAAGCUCUGAAAUUCUCUUGAGGUAAAGUGACGUGAUUUGCUUUUGCAUCUGAGAUCUGAUCUCCCAUUGACUUUCUCCCUCUCUCUCGCGAAUUUGGUCUUCCUCCUCCUCCUCCGCUGACUUUUUGCCCGGCACACUCCUCGUAUGGUUUCGGUUAGAUUUCGUUCCUGUCGAGAAUGCCCGCGAUCGAGAGGAAACACGUGAGGCGGGUUUCGCCCCUCUUUGUGGUGUUCGGGCUCGUUUUCCUUUUCGCCGCUUAUAAUUUGCUGCACAUGGUAAUGCACAACAAGGGUCCCAACCCGGGGGCCGCCGUGACCGACGCAUUGGGAAUGUCCGAUCCCGUCACCGGGUUGCGAUACCAUGUUGCCGUGACGGCGACCGACGCUCCUUAUAGUCAGUGGCAGUGCCGAAUUAUGUACUAUUGGUACAAGAAGGUCAGGGACAUGCCCGGGUCGGACAUGGGCAACUUCACCCGGAUUCUGCACUCGGGGAGAACUGAUCACUUGAUGGAGGAGAUGCACACUUUCGUGGUCGACCCUCUUCCUGAUGGGCUGGAUCGAGGUUAUAUUGUCUUAAACAGACCAUGGGCUUUUGUGCAAUGGCUAGAAAGUGCAACUAUUGAGGAAGAGUAUAUUCUAAUGGCGGAGCCGGACCACAUAUUUGUAAGUCCUUUCCCUAACUUGGCAAAGGGAAGCCACCCAGCGGGAUACCCAUUCUUCUACAUCAAACCGGCUGAAAAAGCAAAAAUCAUUAGGAAGUUUUACCCCAAAGAAAAGGGUCCUUUAACUGAUAUCGAUCCCAUUGGCAAUUCUCCAGUAAUUAUUCAAAAGUCUAUUUUGGAGGAAAUUGCGCCUACAUGGAUGAAUGUCUCUUUGAGAAUGAAGGAAGAUCCCGAAACUGAUAAAGCCUUUGGAUGGGUGCUAGAAAUGUAUGGUUAUGCUGUAGCAUCUGCUCUCCACAAGGUGAAGCAUAUUCUUCGGAAGGACUUCAUGCUGCAGCCACCAUGGGAUCUAGAAGUUGGAAAGAGCUUCAUAAUUCAUUACACUUAUGGCUGCGACUAUUCUAUGAAGGGUGAGCUGACAUAUGGCAAGAUUGGAGAAUGGCGCUUCGACAAGAGAUCCUAUCUUAGUGGUCCACCUCCAAGAAAUCUUUCUUUGCCUCCGCCAGGUGUUCCUGAAAGUGUGGUCCGACUGGUGAAGAUGGUGAAUGAGGCCACUGCUAAUAUUCCCAAGUGGGAAACGCUAAAUAGAAGCUAACCUGCUAUGUGAGAAACAUUACAGAACUGCACAUAUCCUCUUAUUGCUAUUUUUUGCUGGUGGUCUUAAGGAACGACCCUGCAGUGAUCGAACAUCGCAGAAAAGAAUCGGCGGCUCAGGCAACUAAACAAACCGCUCAAGCCACACCAUAGAUCUAUUCAAUGCCGGGACAGUUAUACAAUACUGGUUAAUUUCCUUUUUCUGUAUAAAACAGUUGUACUGCUGGACACGGCAAAAGUUUUGAGAGGUUCGGAGGGUUGUGUCAACUGAAUGUCUGGUCAGACACAAUGUAGAAUGGUUUGGUCGGAUGGGGAUUAACUGAUGAACAUUUGUAAGUUACUGUGCAAAAUCCUAAGAACAAAAGAGAAGGACAAGUAGCAUGAAAAAUAUGUGCUAUCACCUGUGCAAUUGUGAAGCAAGAGAACUUGGAAACAGUAAUGUCCUUCCUCUGUUGCUCACUUUUUUGUUACAGGGAUUUGAUGGUCUUGUGGUGAGUGAAGGCCUCAUCUUCACGAUCUGCUCUCCAUCAACACCCAUUUUCUUGGCAUAAAGACCCGCCUCAAAGAAGCUCUUGACUGCAUCCUCCAUGUACUCCUUCCCUUCUCUGACGGUCAUCUCCUUCCCGAGCCUCUCGGGGUAACUUGUGAAAAUGUGAUCACCUUUCAGCACUGCUGCAAGCUGCAAGAGCUCCUGCUGGAAUUCACUUGGCUCGGCAUCUUCAUUAGCCUCGCCUUUCCCGAUCUUGUUUGGGGUCGGGAGUUGCUCUGUUGGCAUGUUAAACUACAAAUCACACAUGUUUACUUAAAGGCACUAGGCUAUGCAUUUGUGAUGUCGGUUCUGUAAUCACGUGCUUACGCAUAGAGAAGCAAUCACCACUGUUGCAUUUAACAUAUACAUGACUUGGAUCUUUGUUCUGGCUAUGUGGGAAUAAUCAGUACAUUUGUCAA
Molecule: RNA transcript, 2422 nt
Organism: Eucalyptus grandis
Lineage: Eukaryota; Viridiplantae; Streptophyta; Magnoliopsida; Myrtales; Myrtaceae
Gene name: hydroxyproline O-arabinosyltransferase PLENTY
Exons: 9
Source: RefSeq, a predicted model, not a curated record